Non-coding RNA from Blastosporella zonata, 83 nucleotides. Lineage: Eukaryota; Fungi; Basidiomycota; Agaricomycetes; Agaricales; Lyophyllaceae. The record is from the annotation of a GenBank genome assembly.
AGCAGCAUGGCGCAGUUGGAAGCGCGCGGGGCCCAUAUCUAGGUGCAACCCCGAGGUCACUUGAUCGAAACAAGUUGCUGCUA